AUUGAACGCUGGCGGCAGGCCUAACACAUGCAAGUCGAACGAGUGGCGGACGGGUGAGUAAUGUAUGGGAAUCUGCCUGAUGGAGGGGGAUAACUACUGGAAACGGUAGCUAAUACCGCAAACUCUCAGAUGCGCCCAUAGGGGAUUAGCUAGGUGGUGGGGUAACGGCUCACCAAGGCGACGCUCCCUCGCUGGUCUGAGAGGAUGACCAGCCACACUGGAACUGAGACACGGUCCAGAAUCCUACGGGAGGCAGCAGUGGGGAAUAUUGCACAAUGGGCGCAAGCCUGAUGCAGCCAUGCCGCGUGUAUGAAGAAGGCCUUCGGGUUGUAAAGUACUUUCAGCGGGGAGGCGUUACCCACAGAAGAAGCACCGGCUAACUCCGUGCCAGCAGCCGCGGUAAUAC
Molecule: ribosomal RNA, 406 nt
Filed under: uncultured bacterium
Lineage: Bacteria
Description: partial 16S ribosomal RNA
Rfam family: Bacterial small subunit ribosomal RNA
Source: RNAcentral